CCAAUUGGAGAAGAAAAAUUGUAGAGAAAACCCGUCUGGACGAGGACACGCCAUGUGCCUUUGGACAGACCCUGUUCCUAAAGGUCUUAUCCUCUCUUCUUUCUUCAGGGCACAAAGGAAAGGAAACCACUAGCUUCUUUUCCCGGAUAAAGAUGAGGAAUUCCUACUCCCUGGGAUCUUUUGAUCUUUAACUAUAUCGCGUAGGAGAUCUUUCAUAGUGAUUCCAAUCCGUCUUGAAGGCUUUAGGUGGUUCUUCCAAAGGAUUGGACACCCGCAUGUUCUCUAAA
This 287-nucleotide long non-coding RNA is filed under the name Linum usitatissimum (flax). RNAcentral's name for it is "long non-coding RNA (LUSI_LNC006984)". The record is from RNAcentral. Lineage: Eukaryota; Viridiplantae; Streptophyta; Magnoliopsida; Malpighiales; Linaceae.